This 21-nucleotide non-coding RNA is filed under the name Arabidopsis thaliana (thale cress). The record is from RNAcentral. Lineage: Eukaryota; Viridiplantae; Streptophyta; Magnoliopsida; Brassicales; Brassicaceae.
AUGCUACCAAUGUCUAUGGGU